Molecule: ribosomal RNA, 265 nt
Filed under: uncultured Bacillus sp.
Lineage: Bacteria; Bacillati; Bacillota; Bacilli; Caryophanales; Bacillaceae
Description: partial 16S ribosomal RNA
Rfam family: Bacterial small subunit ribosomal RNA
Source: RNAcentral
GGGGCCUACGGGAGGCAGCAGUAGGGAAUCUUCCGCAAUGGACGAAAGUCUGACGGAGCAACGCCGCGUGAGUGAUGAAGGCUUUCGGGUCGUAAAACUCUGUUGUUAGGGAAGAACAAGUGCUAGUUGAAUAAGCUGGCACCUGACGGUACCUAACCAGAAAGCCACGGCUAACUACGUGCCAGCAGCCGCGGUAAUACGUAGGUGGCAAGCGUUAUCCGGAAUUAUUGGGCGUAAAGCGCGCGCAGGUGGUUUCUUAAGUCUG